This 492-nucleotide ribosomal RNA is filed under the name uncultured bacterium. RNAcentral's name for it is "partial 16S ribosomal RNA". It matches the Rfam family "Bacterial small subunit ribosomal RNA", at positions 29 to 507 of the family's 1533-position model. The record is from RNAcentral.
AGUGAACGCUGGCGGUAGGCCUAACACAUGCAAGUCGAACGGCAGCACAGUAAGAGCUUGCUCUUACGGGUGGCGAGUGGCGGACGGGUGAGGAAUACAUCGGAAUCUACUUUUUCGUGGGGGGUAACGUAGGGAAACUUACGCUAAUACCGCAUACGACCUACGGGUGAAAGCAGGGGAUCUUCGGACCUUGCGCGAUUGAAUGAGCCGAUGUCGGAUUAGCUAGUUGGCGGGGUAAAGGCCCACCAAGGCGACGAUCCGUAGCUGGUCUGAGAGGAUGAUCGGCCACACUGGAACUGAGACACGGUCCAGACUCCUACGGGAGGCAGCAGUGGGGAAUAUUGGACAAUGGGCGCAAGCCUGAUCCAGCAAUACCGCGUGGGUGAAGAAGGCCUUCGGGUUGUAAAGCCCUUUUGUUGGGAAAGAAAAGCAGCAGGUUAAUACCCCGCUGUUCUGACGGUACCCAAAGAAUAAGCACCGGCUAACUUCGUG